This 467-nucleotide ribosomal RNA is filed under the name uncultured Mollicutes bacterium. Its description in RNAcentral is "bacterial SSU rRNA". It matches the Rfam family "Bacterial small subunit ribosomal RNA", at positions 912 to 1382 of the family's 1533-position model. The record is from RNAcentral. Lineage: Bacteria; Bacillati; Mycoplasmatota; Mollicutes.
GACGGGAACCCGCACAAGCGGUGGAGUAUGUUGUUUAAUUCGAAGAUACACGAAGAACCUUACCAGGUCUUGACAUACCAUUGACAGGCGCAGAGAUGUGCUCUCCUUCGGGCAAUGGAUACAGGUGGUGCAUGGUUGUCGUCAGCUCGUGCCGUGAGGUGUUGGGUUAAGUCCCGCAACGAGCGCAACCCUCAUUGUUAGUUACUACCAUUCAGUUGAGGACUCUAAUGAGACUGCCAACGAUAAGUUGGAGGAAGGUGGGGAUGACGUCAAAUCAUCAUGCCCUUUAUGACCUGGGCUACAAACGUACUACAAUGGCCAAUACAAAGAGAUGCGAAGCGGUGACGUGGAGCGAACCUCAGAAAGUUGGUCUCAGUUCAGAUUGAAGUCUGCAACUCGACUUCAUGAAGGCGGAAUCGCUAGUAAUCGCGGGUCAGCAGACCGCGGUGAAUACGUUCCCGGGUUUU